UGGUGAUGAUCCUCUUCUCCUCCUCUAUCUUCUCCUUCUUUUCCUCUUCUCUUUUCCUUUCUUUCUUUUCCUUCCUCUCUUCUUCCCCCUGUUCCUCUGCUACGAACUGAGAGAGAGAGCAGUGAGGGCGAGUGUGAAGGAGUGAGAGAGAGAGAGAGAUACCCCUCUCUAAUACCCUCUCAUAUUGUAACAAAAUGCUAUUCAGUCCCUCAACUUUUCAUCUCUUACACAGCCUUCAC
This 239-nucleotide long non-coding RNA is filed under the name Ananas comosus (pineapple). RNAcentral's name for it is "long non-coding RNA (ACOM_LNC023263)". The record is from RNAcentral. Lineage: Eukaryota; Viridiplantae; Streptophyta; Magnoliopsida; Poales; Bromeliaceae.